UACGGAGGGUGCGAGCGUUAAUCGAAAUUACUGGGCGUAAAGCGCACGCAGGCGGUUUGUUAAGCUAGAUGUGAAAGCCCCGGGCUCAACCUGGGAUGGUCAUUUAGAACUGGCAGACUAGAGUCUUGGAGAGGGGAGUGGAAUUCCAGGUGUAGCGGUGAAAUGCGUAGAUAUCUGGAGGAACAUCAGUGGCGAAGGCGACUCCCUGGCCAAAGACUGACGCUCAUGUGCGAAAGUGUGGGUAGCGAACAGG
RNAcentral lists this ribosomal RNA (253 nucleotides) under uncultured bacterium. Its description in RNAcentral is "partial 16S ribosomal RNA". It matches the Rfam family "Bacterial small subunit ribosomal RNA", at positions 524 to 776 of the family's 1533-position model. The record is from RNAcentral.